RNAcentral lists this ribosomal RNA (1371 nucleotides) under Triticum aestivum (bread wheat). Its description in RNAcentral is "partial small subunit ribosomal RNA". The record is from RNAcentral. Lineage: Eukaryota; Viridiplantae; Streptophyta; Magnoliopsida; Poales; Poaceae.
AUGCCGUCGUUCCAAGGCUGGAUAGAUCUGCGGCCGGAGCUCCUCUGUCGCGUCGCCGAUGGCCUCGACGACCUCAGGUUCUACACCAGCGUGCGCGGCACCUGCACGGCGUGGCGUGGCGCGCUCGCGCCGCCUGCACCAUCGCUGCUCGUCCUCCUCCGCGACGACGCCACCAGACGUCGGCACGCCGCCAUCGUCUCGCUCCCCGCGCACCGCUCCUUCGGCCUCCAGGCAAUCCCCUCAGGCUCGUCCUGCCCCAACGCCUCGCCCCCGAUGCGCGGCUCCUUCGAGUUCAUGGCCACCUACCCGAUUAGGAGCUACCUCGGUUGCGGAGGCGGGUGGCUUGCCCUCUCCGUCUGCCUCUACGACGGCCAAAGCCUGCUCACCCUCUUCCACCCAGUCACCGCCGCCGAGAUCCUCCUACCGCCGCUCAUCUACGACACCCGCUUGCUCUCCAAGAUCGUUUUCGCGCCUGACCCCGCUAGGGAAGACUUCAUCACGGCCACCAUCUGCGACAUCGACAGGCUCGCCUACGUCACCGCGGGGGCUAGGAGGUGGGCCGUCCUUGACCGCGUCCGUCUUGCCACCGGAGACCAGCUCGUCGAUGUCAUCUACCAUCAAAUUGGUCAAAAUGGUAUGGUUUACUGCCUCACUCGAUUUGGGAAUGUUUAUGUGCUCCGCCUACCAGAACGUCGCCGCCGAGAACCCGUCAUCAUCGAGGACCAGACAUCAGCAGAGGAUCUUGUAACGCAUAACAGGCGCAUCAUUCAAAUGCACAAUGCCGGAUCGGACCUGAAUGCGCCGGCUAGCGUGCAACCACUACUCUUUUCUUCGGUGAGCAGUUUCACCCCACUGUACGUAGCUGUUUCGGAUUUCACAAGUGCCAAGAACCUGGUGUUCUGCAAUGGCAACCUAUACCAGAUCCGGAGGAAUGCUAGUUGUACCGUCACUUUGCAUCUGGCGGGAGGCAGUCAUCGCCGUAUAGAGGAGGAUGAAAUAUUUGUUCUCAAGUAUAAUCCCCGACGCAGGCCUUGCUGGGACGCGGUGGCUGACUUGGGGGGAUACUCAGUGUUUGUUGGGAGGAGCAAUGCGGUGUCAAUGCAUGCUGAAGGUGUUCCAGGGCUCAAGGGUAACUGUGUCUACUGGAUAGGUGGGAGAGGUAGGGAUCAAGGCAUGGUCUUUGACAUGGGGACCGGGAAAUCUACACCUUGCCUUCCCCCUACGGCUGGUGUCGUUCCAGGGCCUCUACAGUGUACAAUCUGCUGGUACUUUCCGAGGAAGGUAGUGAAUAACUGCAAUACAAAUGAAUUAGGUGUUUAUGGGACCCGAGCAAGGGUUCGGGCUCAACGUGCACAAGACAUGUCACAAUGA